Myotis lucifugus (little brown bat) is the source of this 46-nucleotide non-coding RNA. The record is from Rfam. NCBI's taxonomy places the organism in Eukaryota, Metazoa, Chordata, Mammalia, Chiroptera, Vespertilionidae.
GAAACGAUUUUUUUAAAAAUCACACAUUUCAACAGACACUAAAAGG